RNAcentral lists this ribosomal RNA (300 nucleotides) under uncultured bacterium. RNAcentral's name for it is "bacterial SSU rRNA". It matches the Rfam family "Bacterial small subunit ribosomal RNA", at positions 1082 to 1382 of the family's 1533-position model. The record is from RNAcentral.
AAGUCCCGUAACGAGCGCAACCCUUGUCCUCAGUUACCAGCGGUUCGGCCGGGAACUCUGGGGAGACUGCCGGUGACAAACCGGAGGAAGGUGGGGAUGACGUCAAGUCAUCAUGGCCCUUAUGGGCAGGGCUACACACGUGCUACAAUGGGCGGUACAAAGGGCAGCCAACCCGCGAGGGGGAGCCAAUCCCAUAAAGCUGGUCGUAGUCCGGAUUGGAGUCUGCAACUCGACUCCAUGAAGUCGGAAUCGCUAGUAAUCGUGGAUCAGAAUGCCACGGUGAAUACGUUCCCGGGCCUU